UCCUCCCUCUUUCUUCGUGCCUAAUACAUGCAAGUCGAGCGGACUUUCAAGAAGCUUGCUUUUUGAAAGUUAGCGGCGGACGGGUGAGUAACACGUGGGCAACCUGCCUGCAAGACGGGGAUAACUCCGGGAAACCGGGGCUAAUACCGGAUAAUAUCUUCCUUCGCAUGAAGGAAGGUUGAAAGGCGGCGCAAGCUGCCGCUUGCAGAUGGGCCCGCGGCGCAUUAGCUAGUUGGUGAGGUAACGGCUCACCAAGGCGACGAUGCGUAGCCGACCUGAGAGGGUGAUCGGCCACACUGGGACUGAGACACGGCCCAGACUCCUACGGGAGGCAGCAGUAGGGAAGCUUCCGCAAUGGACGAAAGUCUGACGGAGCAACGCCGCGUGAGCGAAGAAGGGCUUCGGAUCGUAAAGCUCUGUUGUCAGGGAAGAACAAGUACCGUUCGAACAGGGCGGUACCUUGACGGUACCUGACCAGAAAGCCACGGCUAACUACGUG
This 499-nucleotide ribosomal RNA is filed under the name uncultured bacterium. RNAcentral's name for it is "partial 16S ribosomal RNA". It matches the Rfam family "Bacterial small subunit ribosomal RNA", at positions 36 to 507 of the family's 1533-position model. The record is from RNAcentral.